Molecule: ribosomal RNA, 496 nt
Filed under: uncultured bacterium
Lineage: Bacteria
Description: partial 16S ribosomal RNA
Rfam family: Bacterial small subunit ribosomal RNA
Source: RNAcentral
AUGAACGCUGGCGGCGUGCCUAAUACAUGCAAGUCGAGCGAACGGACGAGAAGCUUGCUUCUCUGAUGUUAGCGGCGGACGGGUGAGUAACACGUGGAUAACCUACCUAUAAGACUGGGAUAACUUCGGGAAACCGGAGCUAAUACCGGAUAAUAUUUUGAACCGCAUGGUUCAAAAGUGAAAGACGGUCUUGCUGUCACUUAUAGAUGGAUCCGCGCUGCAUUAGCUAGUUGGUAAGGUAACGGCUUACCAAGGCAACGAUGCAUGGCCGACCUGAGAGGGUGAUCGGCCACACUGGAACUGAGACACGGUCCAGACUCCUACGGGAGGCAGCAGUAGGGAAUCUUCCGCAAUGGGCGAAAGCCUGACGGAGCAACGCCGCGUGAGUGAUGAAGGUCUUCGGAUCGUAAAACUCUGUUAUUAGGGAAGAACAUAUGUGUAAGUAACUGUGCACAUCUUGACGGUACCUAAUCAGAAAGCCACGGCUAACUACGUG